This 425-nucleotide long non-coding RNA is filed under the name Trifolium pratense (red clover). Its description in RNAcentral is "long non-coding RNA (TPRA_LNC005317)". The record is from RNAcentral. Lineage: Eukaryota; Viridiplantae; Streptophyta; Magnoliopsida; Fabales; Fabaceae.
CGAUAGAACCGUUAGGUGUGAGCACCGGAAGUUCUAGUGAAAGAGUACGAGUGGGUUUGAGAUAAGUGGGGGAGAAGGUUAUAUACAUCCGAGAUGUUUCGAACGUGAGAAGAUAGGAUGAGUAGAGAUGUUCGUGAAGCGGAAUAUUCAGGAAUUGGUGACGUUGUUCGAAGUGGAAAGAAUGGGAGCAACAAGUUGUGAGAAACUACUAGAAGGGAAGUUGUCAGACCAAGUGUUUCGCUGUAGGGGCGUUAGUGAGAUUGGUUAAGUGAGAUGUAGAGUAAUCGGAAUGGUUGGAGAUCGUGUGUUGCACUAAAAGUAUGGAGGCGUGUUUUGUGGACCAAAGUUGAAGUACCUGUUUGAUCGGAAGGAGUCGAAUAUGAGGAAGAGGAAGUGAUUAGGAUUCUUGAGGAGAUGAUGAUUUU